AAUAUUGGACAAUGGGCGCAAGCCUGAUCCAGCCACGCCGCGUGAGUGAUGAAGGCCUUCGGGUCGUAAAGCUCUGUGGGGAGGGACGAACCGCUGCUGGUGCAUAGCCAGCAGCAUGACGGUACCUCCUGAGCAAGCACCGGCUAACUUCGUGCCAGCAGCCGCGGUAAUACGUAGGUGGCGAGCGUUGUCCGGAUUUACUGGGCGUAAAGAGCGCGCAGGCGGUCGUUCAAGUCGCGUGUGAAAGCCCCCGGCUCAACUGGGGAGGGUCACGCGAUACUGAUCGACUCGAAGGCAGGAGAGGGUAGUGGAAUUCCCGGUGUAGUGGUGAAAUGCGUAGAUAUCGGGAGGAACACCAGUGGCGAAGGCGACUACCUGGCCUGUUCUUGACGCUGAGGCGCGAAAGCUAGGGGAGCAAAC
Molecule: ribosomal RNA, 420 nt
Filed under: uncultured bacterium
Lineage: Bacteria
Description: bacterial SSU rRNA
Rfam family: Bacterial small subunit ribosomal RNA
Source: RNAcentral